Molecule: ribosomal RNA, 748 nt
Filed under: Bacillus subtilis
Lineage: Bacteria; Bacillati; Bacillota; Bacilli; Caryophanales; Bacillaceae
Description: bacterial SSU rRNA
Rfam family: Bacterial small subunit ribosomal RNA
Source: RNAcentral
AUACUUAGGGCUGAUUGGUGAUUAAUCUUGGGUAACCUGCCUGUAAGACUGGGAUAACUCCGGGAAACCGGGGCUAAUACCGGAUGGUUGUUUGAACCGCAUGGUUCAAACAUAAAAGGUGGCUUCGGCUACCACUUACAGAUGGACCCGCGGCGCAUUAGCUAGUUGGUGAGGUAACGGCUCACCAAGGCAACGAUGCGUAGCCGACCUGAGAGGGUGAUCGGCCACACUGGGACUGAGACACGGCCCAGACUCCUACGGGAGGCAGCAGUAGGGAAUCUUCCGCAAUGGACGAAAGUCUGACGGAGCAACGCCGCGUGAGUGAUGAAGGUUUUCGGAUCGUAAAGCUCUGUUGUUAGGGAAGAACAAGUACCGUUCGAAUAGGGCGGUACCUUGACGGUACCUAACCAGAAAGCCACGGCUAACUACGUGCCAGCAGCCGCGGUAAUACGUAGGUGGCAAGCGUUGUCCGGAAUUAUUGGGCGUAAAGGGCUCGCAGGCGGUUUCUUAAGUCUGAUGUGAAAGCCCCCGGCUCAACCGGGGAGGGUCAUUGGAAACUGGGGAACUUGAGUGCAGAAGAGGAGAGUGGAAUUCCACGUGUAGCGGUGAAAUGCGUAGAGAUGUGGAGGAACACCAGUGGCGAAGGCGACUCUCUGGUCUGUAACUGACGCUGACGAGCGAAAGCGUGGGGAGCGAACAGGAUUAGAUACCCUGGUAGUCCACGCCGUAAACGAUGAGUGCUAAGUGU